UACGUAGGGUGCAAGCGUUAAUCGGAAUUACUGGGCGUAAAGCGUGCGCAGGCGGUUGUGCAAGCCAGAUGUGAAAUCCCCGGGCUUAACCUGGGAAUGGCAUUUGGGACUGCAAGGCUCGAGUGCGGCAGAGGAGACUGGAAUUCCUGGUGUAGCAGUGAAAUGCGUAGAUAUCAGGAGGAACACCGAUGGCGAAGGCAGGUCUCUGGGCUGACACUGACGCUCAUGCACGAAAGCGUGGGGAGCAAACAGG
This 253-nucleotide ribosomal RNA is filed under the name uncultured bacterium. Its description in RNAcentral is "partial 16S ribosomal RNA". It matches the Rfam family "Bacterial small subunit ribosomal RNA", at positions 524 to 776 of the family's 1533-position model. The record is from RNAcentral.